RNAcentral lists this ribosomal RNA (591 nucleotides) under uncultured bacterium. RNAcentral's name for it is "bacterial SSU rRNA". It matches the Rfam family "Bacterial small subunit ribosomal RNA", at positions 338 to 945 of the family's 1533-position model. The record is from RNAcentral.
CCUACGGGAGGCAGCAGUGGGGAAUAUUGGACAAUGGGCGAAAGCCUGAUCCAGCAAUGCCGCGUGAGUGAUGAAGGCCUUCGGGUCGUAAAGCUCUUUUACCAGGGAUGAUAAUGACAGUACCUGGAGAAUAAGCUCCGGCUAACUCCGUGCCAGCAGCCGCGGUAAUACGGAGGGAGCUAGCGUUGUUCGGAAUUACUGGGCGUAAAGAGUACGUAGGCGGUUAUUCAAGUCAGAGGUGAAAGCCCGGGGCUCAACCCCGGAACUGCCUUUGAAACUAGAUAACUAGAGUCUUGGAGAGGUUAGUGGAAUUCCGAGUGUAGAGGUGAAAUUCGUAGAUAUUCGGAAGAACACCAGUGGCGAAGGCGACUAACUGGACAAGUACUGACGCUGAGGUACGAAAGCGUGGGGAGCAAACAGGAUUAGAUACCCUGGUAGUCCACGCCGUAAACGAUGAUAACUAGUUGUUCGGUCACUUGGUGACUGAGUGACGCAGCUAACGCAUUAAGUUAUCCGCCUGGGGAGUACGGUCGCAGAUAAACUACAAGAGUAGUAGACGNGNGAGAGCGACGACGACGACGAGGAGGAGAG